UUUGUUUUUUAAUUAAAAACUAGAAUGAAAGGUUAUACACUCAAAUUUCUUUAUUAAUUUUUAAUAAAUAAUUUAUAUUAAAUAUAAAAAUAUAUUUAUGAAAAAAAAAGACGACAAGACCCUAUUAAAUUUUACUUAUAGUUUAGCUGGGGAAGCUUUUCAAUUAAAAUUUUUUAAAAUCUUAAAAUAAAUAUCUAAUUUAAAUUAAAAUUUAAAUAAAUUACUAUAGGGAUAACAGCAUUAUAUUUUUUAAAAGUUCAUAUUAAAAAAAAUGAUUGUGACCUCGAUGUUGAAUUAUAUUUUCUAUAUUUAAUGCAAUAAUUAUAAAAGUAGAUCUGUUCGAUCUUUAAAAUAUUACAUGAUUUGAGUUCAAACCGGUGUAAACCAGGUUGGUUUCUAUCUUUUUAUAUAUUUUUCCAGUACGAAAGGACAAAAAAAUUUUUAUUUUAAUAAAUUAGCAAAUAUAAUGCAUUAGAUUUAGAAUCUAAAUAUAUUUAAAUU
This 501-nucleotide unclassified non-coding RNA is filed under the name Anelosimus studiosus. RNAcentral describes it as "partial contains 16S ribosomal RNA and tRNA-Leu (trnL)". The stretch from base 105 to 405 matches the Rfam family "Bacterial large subunit ribosomal RNA", at positions 2074 to 2646 of the family's 2925-position model. The record is from RNAcentral. Lineage: Eukaryota; Metazoa; Arthropoda; Arachnida; Araneae; Theridiidae.